CCUAGGAUGCAACUUACAUGAGGAAAAAUGUUCCUGUGAUUUUGGGUAUCAACAAAAACCCUCCCCGUGAACCUCUGAGUUUGGUGAAAAGAGAAAAUUUCCAUGGAAAUAAAUAAGAGGCAUUAUUUUUGGAGCUACUUACAUAUGUAAUGUGUGAUGAGAGAGUAUGCUAGAGGUAACCAUCCAUCAGUUCUUCUAGAGGUGAAGUUCUGUCUGAAGAGGACUACAGGGAUAAAACUGAAGGUGAACAGUGCUGUGGAAGUGUCACGGUGACCACUGACAGCAUCAAAUUUAGGCCCACUGAUUUCUGAUCGCUUUGACAAAUAUGGAGUGAAGAAAUACAACAAUUUUUGUCUCUUAAAAUACUUCAGAUGAUGGAAUGCUGGGUUGUCAGAAACGUCAAUUGUGAAAAUCAUUCUUACAAGAAGUCAGUCAGAAGGGGCUCACUGCUGCAAUGAAUGGCGCUUUCUAGGGAAUGCAGCUGUUCAAUCCUGGAAUUAAUAUGUAAAUGAUCUUCUGUUAUUGAAGUAAGGGAAGAAGAUGGAAUGUAGCUGUAUUUUCUCUAAUCAACAUACUCUCCUUUUCAUUGGGAACUACAACAAAGCUGACUGUCAGCCACACAAAUAAUCGAAUAUUUAUUUUUGCAGAAAUAAAAACAUCCAGAAGGAUGCUUUUUUUUGAAAGCUUUUACUGACCAACCCAAACAUUAUUUUGGUUCAGUGAAAAUACAUGUAUUUAGAACUAUUCACACACAAAUCUCUCAUGCUUUUUCAAUAAAAAAAUAGAACAAAUGAAGUACGUUGGCAGAAUGACAAUUUCAGCUGCAAAAAUGUAGUAGUACAGAACUGCAAAUGUAAUUACCACUGGUUUUUGAGGAAAUGCAAACUCAUAUAUUAGAAUCAUCUCUACUGUAAUUGUCAAGUUCUGUCCUCAGUUUCACAAACAAGAGUUUCCCACAAUCAGCUGAAUUCUGAUUUGUGAUUGUUUCUCCGCAGGAAAGUUGAAUAAAAAUUCUACCUAGAGUAGAAAACAUUUCAGGACUGCAAAUAGCAGAGGUCACCAAAUGAGCUAUAGAGACUGCAUCAAUAAUUCCCAACAGUGCAUUAGUGGAGCAGAGAAUAUGAUACAGGUUGUUAUUCUGAAGAUUGCUUUUGAUAUAGCAUAAUAUAUGAUUAGACUGAAAAUACAUAUUCUGAAACUAGUGUAUGAAAUGCCUUGUGAGCCUCUUUACUGAUGUUUCAUUUAGUUUCUUCCUUCUUAGCCUAGUGUUCACAUCUUUACAUUCAGUGGAAAUUUCUUUGGACAGGUUGAGGCAACAGUAAAAUAAACCUUCAGCAAAAAAAAAUGAAAACAAGAAAACAAGAAAAAAGAACAACAACAAAAGAAAACAGGACAGAUUUAAAGCUAAAAGCAAGAUACUGAAGUCAAAAACAGGAACUUGAAGUCAAUACAGAAAGCUAUUGGAAAACAAUGUAAAGAUUGAGGCUGAAAUUGCUGGCUGGGAUCACCUAAGCCAACUUAAUCAAUACCUUGGCUGCUGAGUUGGGAAUAAACAGAACUGCUUGUAUAUGAACAAAAAUGUGAUAACAGAACUUCAACUUCUAAGAUGUGUAAGUUAUGUAAACUUCCAAUUGAGACAAUGUGUUAACAGUGCAAAUUAUCCAAGCCCCAAAUAGCUAAUCAGAUUACUGAGCCUGAUCUACAAACAGCAUUUUGACCUUUCAGAACAAUUAAAGGACAAAGCUAGUUCUGCAGCAGUUAGGACACCCUUGAGCUGUAAUGAUAAAAAAAUAUCUGACAUAUCAGUCAGCAUGCUGUGCGUGGUAUGUGUCAAAUUAUGCAAGACUCAGCAGACAAAUCUUCUUGGAGUUAAAAUUCCUGUCAUUGAUUAUGUCCUUUUAGAAGUCUUCUACUAAGAAUUUUAGGUGAUGACGUAUAAAAUUCUGUUUUUUUCCUUGUAGAAUAGUUGUAUAUGCAACAAUAUGCGUGUGUCUCUACCUUACAUGCAAGUUGGUGGCAGUAGGGGUGGUGAUAAUGCUUCACAUGUUAAAUCUUUCAUGACAAAGCUGUUUAAUGUUUAAGACCAUUUAGAGGGCAGAAAAAUCCUUCAGAAAAGGUAUAUGCUCACCAUGGUAUCUUUCCUUUCUUACUCCCCUGCCUUUCCCAGUCAGCUGCGUUAGCACAUAGCAGCAGCAGUCAGCACCCACAGAACUUUUUCUCCUAUUAGCUCCCUGGAAGCUGUUCCUGCCCUUUGAUCCCAGAACACGUGAUCUGUUAGUUUUAUAGGUAGAUGAGGUAAAGGAAGGCUUGGCAUAUGGCUCUGGUGUGAAGUGCUGCGGACAGAGGAGACCCUGCAGCCCUGUCCAGUCCUUGCUAGAGAGAAGAUCCUGUGCGUGCAGUGCUAUUUGGGCUGAGCCAGGCCAUAUCUCUUCAGGUGAUUCCAAGCCAGAUGUAAGACUCAUGCUGAGAACACAGUGUUUCUGUCUAAAUGUGUUGACGUUACUGAGUACUUGGAUGUCUAGCAGCAUGGUCCUGCUGUGGAGUUUCUGUAUGCUUGUGUGUCUAAUACACAAUUCCUACUUUUAUGGUGUCUCAAGGCAUUUAGUCAUUUUUUGAAGAAGGCAGCACUGGGAUGAAUUCUACAAUUUCCUUCACUGAUUUUUUUAUUAUCCUCAAUGGAAAUGACAACUUUGAACACAACAGUAAAGUAGGUUUACAAUUUGGAGAUUUUUUUUCUAUAGUGUAUUCAGCAUACUUCCAAUAUGUUUUCUUUAUUUCCUCUCCUUCCAGUCCAUUGAUUUUAAAAAUAUUUUUCUGUUAUAUGCGGAGUGCGAAACAGAUAGCAUUAGAAUUUUAGCUGAACUUUUAAAACUAUGCAGUUUGGAUUGGUAUUGUAUUUAACAAACCUAUCCUGUAUUUAAUUCAUUCCCAGCUGAAAUUUUUCUGAAGGGCAGAAAUGCUGGAUGCAGUGUGUUUGGAGACAAAUCAUCUGUAGAGCUCAGGCACCUUCCAUACCAAUUACUUCUACAGCUUCAAAUCCUUCACAUAUUAAUAACAGGUUGUUAGAACCAAAGUUAUUUCCAUUUGGAGUAUCUGGAAUGGUUUGUGAUAAAUGAGUGAUAAAUUAAUUUUUCACCAAAAUCUCCUCUUGAAUUUAGAAUCUUCAGCAGUCUCUCAGGAAUGCAAUUCAUCUUUGCAAAUUUCUGCUUGCUUUACAUGCUGUCAUCCUCUUUGUUUCUUGAGUAAACUCUGAAUGAAUAGCAGAAUAUCAAAAUACUAUCACGUUCUCAUCUUCAACAAAGCUCUCUUCUUUCUAGCUUUUGUUAUCUUUGACAUGAUCACAGAUAUCCUGUAUUAAUUCACAAGCAACUGUAUGCAGACAAGCAUCUGCAGUAAUGGAUUUCUGAACCUCCAAAUGAAUUUUCAUCAUUGAAAAAGAUCUGUCAGAAUCUUUCUCAUCAAGCAGCUGUAGUUCUUGCCUGUACAAAACCACGGACUUCUAAUUCAAAGACAAAAGUUUUAAGUCUGUUGUUUAUAGUCAUUUGUGCUGGGUUUUAUUCAGAAAUGUUCUGGGCUGGGAAGGCUGUGUGUGUGUGUGUGUGUACAUCAUAUAUGUAGAUAGAUUUUUUGAUUGGACUUGGUGACUAUAUGUGUGCAUAUGAAUAACAUUGAAUAACACAGUUUGAGUGUGAUAUGUUGCUCAUAGUCAUUCCUUUGCCUAAUGUUUUUAUUGUAGUAGUAGUAGUAGUAGUAGUAGUGAGAUCGAUGUGAAAUGAGUUAACCUUAAGAAACUUCUCUAUGAAAAUUCUCUGUGAAUGGAAGUCAAAUACCUUCUCUGUAUAUACAUCCAAAAAUUCAAGCACCUGGUUAUUGAAGAAAUAAAAAUGUA
Molecule: long non-coding RNA, 3889 nt
Organism: Phasianus colchicus (ring-necked pheasant)
Lineage: Eukaryota; Metazoa; Chordata; Aves; Galliformes; Phasianidae
Source: RefSeq, a predicted model, not a curated record